UUAAGCGACUAAGCGUACACGGUGGAUGCCCAGGCAGUCAGAGGCGAUGAAGGACGUGCUAAUCUGCGAUAAGCGUCGGUAAGGUGAUAUGAACCGUUAUAACCGGCGAUUUCCGAAUGGGGAAACCCAGUGUGUUUCGACACACUAUCAUUAACUGAAUCCAUAGGUUAAUGAGGCGAACCGGGGGAACUGAAACAUCUAAGUACCCCGAGGAAAAGAAAUCAACCGAGAUUCCCCCAGUAGCGGCGAGCGAACGGGGAGCAGCCCAGAGCCUGAAUCAGUGUGUGUGUUAGUGGAAGCGUCUGGAAAGGCGCGCGAUACAGGGUGACAGCCCCGUACACAAAAAUGCACAUGCUGUGAGCUCGAUGAGUAGGGCGGGACACGUGGUAUCCUGUCUGAAUAUGGGGGGACCAUCCUCCAAGGCUAAAUACUCCUGACUGACCGAUAGUGAACCAGUACCGUGAGGGAAAGGCGAAAAGAACCCCGGCGAGGGGAGUGAAAAAGAACCUGAAACCGUGUACGUACAAGCAGUGGGAGCACGCUUAGGCGUGUGACUGCGUACCUUUUGUAUAAUGGGUCAGCGACUUAUAUUCUGUAGCAAGGUUAACCGAAUAGGGGAGCCGAAGGGAAACCGAGUCUUAACUGGGCGUUAAGUUGCAGGGUAUAGACCCGAAACCCGGUGAUCUAGCCAUGGGCAGGUUGAAGGUUGGGUAACACUAACUGGAGGACCGAACCGACUAAUGUUGAAAAAUUAGCGGAUGACUUGUGGCUGGGGGUGAAAGGCCAAUCAAACCGGGAGAUAGCUGGUUCUCCCCGAAAGCUAUUUAGGUAGCGCCUCGUGAAUUCAUCUCCGGGGGUAGAGCACUGUUUCGGCAAGGGGGUCAUCCCGACUUACCAACCCGAUGCAAACUGCGAAUACCGGAGAAUGUUAUCACGGGAGACACACGGCGGGUGCUAACGUCCGUCGUGAAGAGGGAAACAACCCAGACCGCCAGCUAAGGUCCCAAAGUCAUGGUUAAGUGGGAAACGAUGUGGGAAGGCCCAGACAGCCAGGAUGUUGGCUUAGAAGCAGCCAUCAUUUAAAGAAAGCGUAAUAGCUCACUGGUCGAGUCGGCCUGCGCGGAAGAUGUAACGGGGCUAAACCAUGCACCGAAGCUGCGGCAGCGACGCUUAUGCGUUGUUGGGUAGGGGAGCGUUCUGUAAGCCUGUGAAGGUGUGCUGUGAGGCAUGCUGGAGGUAUCAGAAGUGCGAAUGCUGACAUAAGUAACGAUAAAGCGGGUGAAAAGCCCGCUCGCCGGAAGACCAAGGGUUCCUGUCCAACGUUAAUCGGGGCAGGGUGAGUCGACCCCUAAGGCGAGGCCGAAAGGCGUAGUCGAUGGGAAACAGGUUAAUAUUCCUGUACUUGGUGUUACUGCGAAGGGGGGACGGAGAAGGCUAUGUUGGCCGGGCGACGGUUGUCCCGGUUUAAGCGUGUAGGCUGGUUUUCCAGGCAAAUCCGGAAAAUCAAGGCUGAGGCGUGAUGACGAGGCACUACGGUGCUGAAGCAACAAAUGCCCUGCUUCCAGGAAAAGCCUCUAAGCAUCAGGUAACAUCAAAUCGUACCCCAAACCGACACAGGUGGUCAGGUAGAGAAUACCAAGGCGCUUGAGAGAACUCGGGUGAAGGAACUAGGCAAAAUGGUGCCGUAACUUCGGGAGAAGGCACGCUGAUAUGUAGGUGAAGUCCCUCGCGGAUGGAGCUGAAAUCAGUCGAAGAUACCAGCUGGCUGCAACUGUUUAUUAAAAACACAGCACUGUGCAAACACGAAAGUGGACGUAUACGGUGUGACGCCUGCCCGGUGCCGGAAGGUUAAUUGAUGGGGUUAGCCGCAAGGCGAAGCUCUUGAUCGAAGCCCCGGUAAACGGCGGCCGUAACUAUAACGGUCCUAAGGUAGCGAAAUUCCUUGUCGGGUAAGUUCCGACCUGCACGAAUGGCGUAAUGAUGGCCAGGCUGUCUCCACCCGAGACUCAGUGAAAUUGAACUCGCUGUGAAGAUGCAGUGUACCCGCGGCAAGACGGAAAGACCCCGUGAACCUUUACUAUAGCUUGACACUGAACAUUGAGCCUUGAUGUGUAGGAUAGGUGGGAGGCUUAGAAGUGUGGACGCCAGUCUGCAUGGAGCCGACCUUGAAAUACCACCCUUUAAUGUUUGAUGUUCUAACGUUGACCCGUAAUCCGGGUUGCGGACAGUGUCUGGUGGGUAGUUUGACUGGGGCGGUCUCCUCCUAAAGAGUAACGGAGGAGCACGAAGGUUGGCUAAUCCUGGUCGGACAUCAGGAGGUUAGUGCAAUGGCAUAAGCCAGCUUGACUGCGAGCGUGACGGCGCGAGCAGGUGCGAAAGCAGGUCAUAGUGAUCCGGUGGUUCUGAAUGGAAGGGCCAUCGCUCAACGGAUAAAAGGUACUCCGGGGAUAACAGGCUGAUACCGCCCAAGAGUUCAUAUCGACGGCGGUGUUUGGCACCUCGAUGUCGGCUCAUCACAUCCUGGGGCUGAAGUAGGUCCCAAGGGUAUGGCUGUUCGCCAUUUAAAGUGGUACGCGAGCUGGGUUUAGAACGUCGUGAGACAGUUCGGUCCCUAUCUGCCGUGGGCGCUGGAGAACUGAGGGGGGCUGCUCCUAGUACGAGAGGACCGGAGUGGACGCAUCACUGGUGUUCGGGUUGUCAUGCCAAUGGCACUGCCCGGUAGCUAAAUGCGGAAGAGAUAAGUGCUGAAAGCAUCUAAGCACGAAACUUGCCCCGAGAUGAGUUCUCCCUGACUCCUUGAGAGUCCUGAAGGAACGUUGAAGACGACGACGUUGAUAGGCCGGGUGUGUAAGCGCAGCGAUGCGUUGAGCUAACCGGUACUAAUGAACCGUGAGGCUUAACCUU
RNAcentral lists this ribosomal RNA (2904 nucleotides) under Escherichia coli. RNAcentral describes it as "bacterial LSU rRNA". It matches the Rfam family "Bacterial large subunit ribosomal RNA". The record is from RNAcentral. Lineage: Bacteria; Pseudomonadati; Pseudomonadota; Gammaproteobacteria; Enterobacterales; Enterobacteriaceae.